RNAcentral lists this ribosomal RNA (465 nucleotides) under uncultured bacterium. Its description in RNAcentral is "partial 16S ribosomal RNA". It matches the Rfam family "Bacterial small subunit ribosomal RNA", at positions 338 to 795 of the family's 1533-position model. The record is from RNAcentral.
CCUACGGGAGGCAGCAGUAGGGAAUCUUCCACAAUGGGCGAAAGCCUGAUGGAGCAACGCCGCGUGGGUGAAGAAGGUCUUCGGAUCGUAAAACCCUGUUGUUAGAGAAGAAAGUGCGUGAGAGUAACUGUUCACGUUUCGACGGUAUCUAACCAGAAAGCCACGGCUAACUACGUGCCAGCAGCCGCGGUAAUACGUAGGUGGCAAGCGUUAUCCGGUUUUAUUGGGCGUAAAGGGAACGCAGGCGGUCUUUUAAGUCUGAUGGGAAAGCCUUCGGCUUAACCGGAGUAGUGCAUUGGAAACUGGGAGACUUGAGUGCAGAAGAGGAGAGUGGAACUCCAUGUGUAGCGGUGAAAUGCGUAGAUAUAUGGAAGAACACCAGUGGCGAAAGCGGCUCUCUGGUCUGUAACUGACGCUGAGGUUCGAAAGCGUGGGUAGCAAACAGGAUUAGAUACCCGAGUAGUC